RNAcentral lists this ribosomal RNA (760 nucleotides) under uncultured beta proteobacterium. RNAcentral's name for it is "bacterial SSU rRNA". It matches the Rfam family "Bacterial small subunit ribosomal RNA", at positions 42 to 801 of the family's 1533-position model. Lineage: Bacteria; Pseudomonadati; Pseudomonadota; Betaproteobacteria. The record is from RNAcentral.
GAAUGCUUUACACAUGCAAGUCGAACGGUAGAGGGGGCAACCCCUUGAGAGUGGCGAACGGGUGAGUAAUGUAUCGGAACGUGCCCAGUCGUGGGGGAUAACGUAGUGAAAAUUACGCUAAUACCGCAUACGAUCUAUGGAUGAAAGCGGGGGAUCGCAAGACCUCGCGCGACUGGAGCGGCCGAUAUCAGAUUAGGUAGUUGGUAGGGUAAAGGCCUACCAAGCCAACGAUCUGUAGCUGGUCUGAGAGGACGACCAGCCACACUGGAACUGAGACACGGUCCAGACUCCUACGGGAGGCAGCAGUGGGGAAUUUUGGACAAUGGGCGAAAGCCUGAUCCAGCCAUUCCGCGUGCAGGAUGAAGGCCCUCGGGUUGUAAACUGCUUUUGUACAGAACGAAAAGGUUUCUAUUAAUACUAGGAGCUCAUGACGGUACUGUAAGAAUAAGCACCGGCUAACUACGUGCCAGCAGCCGCGGUAAUACGUAGGGUGCAAGCGUUAAUCGGAAUUACUGGGCGUAAAGCGUGCGCAGGCGGUUAUAUAAGUCAGAUGUGAAAUCCCCGGGCUCAACCUGGGAACUGCAUUUGAGACUGUAUAGCUAGAGUACGGUAGAGGGGGAUGGAAUUCCGCGUGUAGCAGUGAAAUGCGUAGAUAUGCGGAGGAACACCGAUGGCGAAGGCAAUCCCCUGGACCUGUACUGACGCUCAUGCACGAAAGCGUGGGGAGCAAACAGGAUUAGAUACCCUGGUAGUCCACGCC